GAUGAACGCUGGCGGCGUGCCUAAUACAUGCAAGUCGAGCGAACAGACGAGGAGCUUGCUCCUCUGACGUUAGCGGCGGACGGGUGAGUAACACGUGGAUAACCUACCUAUAAGACUGGGAUAACUUCGGGAAACCGGAGCUAAUACCGGAUAACAUGUUGAACCGCAUGGUUUAACAGUGAAAGACGGUCUUGCUGUCACUUAUAGGUGGAUCCGCGCCGCAUUAGCUAGUUGGUAAGGUAACGGCUUACCAAGGCAACGAUGCGUAGCCGACCUGAGAGGGUGAUCGGCCACACUGGAACUGAGACACGGUCCAGACUCCUACGGGAGGCAGCAGUAGGGAAUCUUCCGCAAUGGGCGAAAGCCUGACGGAGCAACGCCGCGUGAGUGAAGAAGGUCUUCGGAUCGUAAAACUCUGUUAUUAGGGAAGAACAAAUGUGUAAGUAACUAUGCACGUCUUGACGGUACCUAAUCAGAAAGCCACGGCUAACUACGUG
Molecule: ribosomal RNA, 497 nt
Filed under: uncultured bacterium
Lineage: Bacteria
Description: partial 16S ribosomal RNA
Rfam family: Bacterial small subunit ribosomal RNA
Source: RNAcentral